AUUGAACGCUGGCGGCAUGCUUUACACAUGCCAGUCGAACGGCAGCGCGGGCUUCGGCCUGGCGGCGAGUGGCGAACGGGUGAGUAAUACAUCGGAACGUGCCCAGUAGUGGGGGAUAGCCCGGCGAAAGCCGGAUUAAUACCGCAUACGACCUGAGGGUGAAAGCGGGGGAUCUUCGGACCUCGCGCUAUUGGAGCGGCCGAUGGCAGAUUAGCUAGUUGGUGGGGUAAAGGCCUACCAAGGCGACGAUCUGUAGCUGGUCUGAGAGGACGACCAGCCACACUGGGACUGAGACACGGCCCAGACUCCUACGGGAGGCAGCAGUGGGGAAUUUUGGACAAUGGGCGAAAGCCUGAUCCAGCAAUGCCGCGUGUGUGAUGAAGGCCUUCGGGUUGUAAAGCAUUUUUGGCGGGAACGAAAAGGACUGUGCCAAUACCACGGUUCGAUGACGGUACCCGCAGAAUAAGCACCGGCUAACUACGUG
This 484-nucleotide ribosomal RNA is filed under the name uncultured bacterium. Its description in RNAcentral is "partial 16S ribosomal RNA". It matches the Rfam family "Bacterial small subunit ribosomal RNA", at positions 29 to 507 of the family's 1533-position model. The record is from RNAcentral.